CGUAUGAUUUCUACAGCAGUAAAAGCGGACACCGAAGCUAACGCGAACACACAACUCUACAGAGAGCGAUACUACACAGUUUUAAACAGCGAAUAUCUCUAAAUUCAAACACUCUUGGAAUCAUUCGGGAUAAAAAUUGCAGAUUCUGCACCUCCCUCGAACCUCUUGAAGUACUUUCUGUUAAGUCUCCAGCCAAGAAUGUAAUACAAGUACAUUAUCUGCAAACACAAAUGAUAAGUGAAUAAUAAAAUUGGUGCAAAAUAAAUGUAAUAUAUAUGACCACUCUAGAAUUCCUAUAACGCGUAAGUCGAGAGGACACGUACAGUUAGCAUGAUACUACUGUACCUUGUUAUUAAACUCAACCUUAAAGUAAUUUUACCUGAGACCAUCUUUUCUUGUGACGGAUCUUGGUCUUGUCUUUAAAAUGAACCAUCAUCAGGUUGCCUUUAGGAAGGGUGUAUUCCAGACGACCUCCAUACGGAGUGCUUAUGAUCCUCUGACGGGGAAGCUUCGGGAUCUUCUCGAAAAUACUUGGAUUCUCUACGCUGAAAAUGCUAAUGAAUGCAAACAAAGAUUUUUGGAUCAGUGUUUGCCCAUCACUUUGCAGUACACACAGAUGGAUUAGAUUAAGGAUAAUCCUUACGUGUAAACUUCUUUAAUGACUUCCACAAGAGUUUCAGCAUAUUCAUUUGCAAGUCGCUGAUUUCCGACUUUCUUGAAGGCGUCAUCAAAAUAAAUAUGGAAUUCAAACUCUUCAUCAGUAUUUGUGCUGGACUUUGGUCUGUAUUUAUCGAGCCUGGUCUCAUGCCACAUUGUUGCACACGGAAACACUCUGAUGGUUUCUUUUACUCUGAGGACAAUACGUAUUCAAAAAGUGAGGCAUUUUAACUCAUUAAAUCAAAGUAAAAGUCUUUGCUUCAGGAAGAAAACUUACCGUUUCACCUUGUGUCUUUUUUUGAUCACAAAACG
Non-coding RNA from Misgurnus anguillicaudatus (oriental weatherfish), 969 nucleotides. Lineage: Eukaryota; Metazoa; Chordata; Actinopteri; Cypriniformes; Cobitidae. The record is from RefSeq and is a predicted model, not a curated record.